AUACGGAGGGUGCAAGCGUUAUCCGGAAUCAUUGGGUUUAAAGGGUCCGCAGGCGGUCAAUUAAGUCAGAGGUGAAAGCCCAUCGCUCAACGAUGGAACUGCCUUUGAUACUGGUUGACUUGAGUUAUACGGAAGUAGAUAGAAUAAGUAGUGUAGCGGUGAAAUGCAUAGAUAUUACUUAGAAUACCGAUUGCGAAGGCAGUCUACUACGUAUAUACUGACGCUGAGGCGCGGAAGCGUGGGGAGCAAACAGGAGUAGAUACCCUAGUAGUCC
Molecule: ribosomal RNA, 274 nt
Filed under: uncultured bacterium
Lineage: Bacteria
Description: partial 16S ribosomal RNA
Rfam family: Bacterial small subunit ribosomal RNA
Source: RNAcentral